This 38-nucleotide ribosomal RNA is filed under the name Prioria mannii. Its description in RNAcentral is "partial 26S ribosomal RNA". The record is from RNAcentral. Lineage: Eukaryota; Viridiplantae; Streptophyta; Magnoliopsida; Fabales; Fabaceae.
GCGACCCCAGCUCAGGCGGGGCCACCCGCUGAGUUUAA